GUUGCAUGGCUGUCGUCAGCUCGUGUCGUGAGAUGUUCGGUUAAGUCCGCUAACGAGCGCAACCCUCGUCGUAUGUUAUAUGUGUCAUACGAGACUGCCGGUAAAAAAGCCGGAGGAAGGUGAGGAUGAUGUCAAGUCAGCAUGACCUUUAUAUCCAGGGCUACACACACGCUACAAUGGUCUGUACAAUGGGUAGCCAAGCCGCGAGGCGGAGCCAAUCCUGAAAGCAGGCCUCAGUUCAGAUUGCAGUCUGCAACUCGACUGCAUGAAGCCGGAGUUGCUAGUAACCGCAGGUCAGCAAUACUGCGGUGAAUACGUUCCCGGGUCUU
This 329-nucleotide ribosomal RNA is filed under the name uncultured Anaerolineaceae bacterium. RNAcentral's name for it is "bacterial SSU rRNA". It matches the Rfam family "Bacterial small subunit ribosomal RNA", at positions 1040 to 1382 of the family's 1533-position model. The record is from RNAcentral. Lineage: Bacteria; Bacillati; Chloroflexota; Anaerolineae; Anaerolineales; Anaerolineaceae.